This 403-nucleotide ribosomal RNA is filed under the name bacterium. RNAcentral's name for it is "partial 16S ribosomal RNA". It matches the Rfam family "Bacterial small subunit ribosomal RNA", at positions 355 to 776 of the family's 1533-position model. The record is from RNAcentral.
UGGGGAAUCUUGCACAAUGGGGGAAACCCUGAUGCAGCGACGCCGCGUGAGCGAUGAAGGUUUUCGAAUCGUAAAGCUCUGUCCUAUGGGAAGAUAAUGACGGUACCAUAGGAGGAAGCCCCGGCUAACUACGUGCCAGCAGCCGCGGUAAUACGUAGGGGGCGAGCGUUGUCCGGAAUUACUGGGCGUAAAGGGUUCGCAGGCGGCAUGACAAGUCCGAUGUAAAAGGCGAAAGCUCAACUUUCGUAAGCAUCGGAAACUGUCAAGCUUGAGUGAAGGAGAGGCAAGUGGAAUUCCUAGUGUAGCGGUGGAAUGCGUAGAUAUUAGGAGGAAUACCGGUGGCGAAGGCGACUUGCUGGACGUCAACUGACGCUGAGGAACGAAAGCGUGGGUAGCAAACAGG